UACGAAGGGUGCAAACGUUGCUCGGAAUUAUUGGGCGUAAAGCGCACGUAGGCGGCUUUGUGUGUCGGAUGUGAAAUCCCUCGGCUCAACCAAGGAAGUGCAUUCGAAACUGCAAAGCUUGAGUACUUAAGAGGAUCGCGGAAUUCCCGGUGUAGAGGUGAAAUUCGUAGAUAUCGGGAGGAACACCAGUGGCGAAGGCGGCGAUCUGGGAAGAUACUGACGCUGAGGUGCGAAAGCGUGGGGAGCGAACAGG
RNAcentral lists this ribosomal RNA (253 nucleotides) under uncultured bacterium. RNAcentral describes it as "partial 16S ribosomal RNA". It matches the Rfam family "Bacterial small subunit ribosomal RNA", at positions 524 to 776 of the family's 1533-position model. The record is from RNAcentral.